Molecule: long non-coding RNA, 2518 nt
Organism: Cimex lectularius (bed bug)
Lineage: Eukaryota; Metazoa; Arthropoda; Insecta; Hemiptera; Cimicidae
Exons: 2
Source: RefSeq, a predicted model, not a curated record
UCGAGUAUUCCACUGCCCUAACCGAAACAAUGGUAUGUAAAUAAGUAAGAAUGAAGUGUGUGAGUGUUAAUGGAUUUAAGAACUUUUUACCUUGGGGGCUAAAAUAACCUGGCUGUUGAUAAUUCCUGGCAGCUGGAUAAGACCGAGAUCCAACCCCGAAUUACCAACACCCAGGAUGGAUGACUAUCGAGGCAUACCAGUAAUUUAUUGUAAAUUACAAAAACUGACACAACAAAAAAAUUGCCACUGUAUAGAGAAAAUUGAUAGGCUCAACCCUGUACACACAUAUGCAUAUGCACAUGCGUGUGAAGAUUCCAGCUUAUAUUAUAUAAAUGAGUAACUUGUAAUCUACUGUAGAUAUUAAACUAAAAAGGGACAGUUAAAACUCUUCAAUGCAAAGUUGUAAGGAAAAUAGGAGAGGAAAAUUAAAUAUGGAAAAGGAUGAGGCUUGAUGGUUAGGGUUUUAAAGGUUGGAGGCACAGAUGAGGAAACGACUGAACGAAAUAAUCCUGUAUGUGUAACGAGUUUCAUGGGAGUGGACAGGAAUCUGAAGGUGAAGAAAUUUUAUAUAUAGGGAUAGAUAUCAUUGAUAGAAGAAGAAGCCCAGGACAUAUUGCUGGGGAAAGAAGAGUAUAAACAUUUCAAGACAGUGUACAGAUCAAUCACAAGGACCUCCUUGGGAAGCCAAAGAUAAAACAAAACAAUUCAUUAGAUCUUUAAGCUUAUUUUGAAGCUCCCUAGUGAGUCUCAUGUACACAACACAUUCUUAAUCAAAAUGCGGUGAGUAAGGAAGAAAACUAAGUUUAGCCACAUUAAAUGGGAGAAGGUAUGAUAGAUCUGAUGAAGGUUGGAAAAGCAGCAUUACGGAAAUCCAGGCGACACAGGGCUUCCAGGAAAUGUUCUGAUCAAGGACAAUCUCAUAACUGCCAUCAUCACAGUUAUAUAAAUGCUUCUUCAUUUUUAAUUAUUAAACUUUUUGUUUUCUAUGCUUUGCAAGACUGGGAAAACACCAUUCGACCUUAAACGAUGAUGGCCUCUAGACCUUGCACCUUAAUCUAGCAUAUUGAACCAGCUUGUAUGUCCUCAAGUGACUUCCAGAUGCAGAGCAAAAUAUAUUUGAUAUGUUCAGGCUACAGAUAAAUUUUAUUAAAAAAAAAAAGAAAGUUUUUUAUUACAGCAAUAAGGUUAACUUAGGUAGAUUAACAAUAGGUUAAUCUCUUAACCUAACCCCACAUACAAGCAUAUAUUAUAACCUAGAAACUUGGUCUGUGAGAAGCCAUAUACUUUAUGCAACCAUCAACUUGUAACUUCAGGAGUUUACAUUACAGUCAGAUAAUAUGUAUUGUAGUGACUCACCACAUAAUGAGCACCACUUCGGUCUUUUGGCGAUAAAAAGGUGCCAGUUCUCGUCAGUUAGAUGUGUUUUAGAAAUCUGGCAGUGUGAAUGAACACUGAACUAAUAUAAAGCAACUUAACUUACAGUUGAUCAGGGAUGUCUACAUUCUUCACUCUGCAUUCCUCAAAAAAUAUCUGACAAAAUGACUUAAUAUUGUGAAAAUUUAAUCUUUUUUUUUUUCAACAAGGGUGAUAUUUUUUUAAAUAACAACCAAAGAGAAAUACUUCAUUUUCAUUGUGAUAUAAUUUCAAGUAAACAGUUUAUGGUACAUAGUGGUAAUUUCUUAUUAUCCUAACUAAUAAAGACUAUAACAUAAGAGAAAAGAAAACAUUCGACUUUUAAUUAUAUAACGGAUUUUCAUAAAAAUAAACCUUUGUGUAUACAAUUUAAUCUAAAAUUUUCCUAGACAUAUGCACAUUGUGAUGAAAUUUACAUGAGGUAAAAUUUUUCCAGUAUCACCUCUAGAACUGAAAUCGAUAUUUAAAAAAACACAAAAGAAAAAACAAUCACAGCUAGGAAAUAUAGAGAUUCUUUCUUACAUACGAUAAAUAAAUAAAUCGGCAUUUUUUUUUCUCUUGUUAACAAAAUAAGGCAAUUUCGUCUUUCUAAAUAAAAAACACUUCUUUUUCCGAUUCGUCUCAUAAUUCACUCUUUGGUAUAACUAUUCAAAUUUCCUAUGGCCCAGUAGGGAAAUCCCCUCUAGCCGUAUCAAUUUAUACAACUUGUGAAUAUUUAAUAAAACAAAAAUGGAAUGUCAAUGUAUGGAAUUUUCUUAUAAAUUAACUGAUCCAAUAUUGACAUUACAAUAUUUUCCAAAAAAUAAACAUAAAUAUUAAUCUUGGAAUAUUUCAUAAUUGAGAUUAUUCCAUAAUUUCUAUUCAAAAGAAACUCAUUAAAAAACAAAGAUAACAAAAUAAAUCAUCGCUGUAAUAUGUUUAACAUAUUAAUUUCAUUAGCUGACAUUAUUAUUCUUGUGUAAAUUCAUGUUUAAAAUAAAUUAUGGGUAGGUCAUAAAAUUAUAAAUAUUUCCUUAAGUGAACUCAAUGGUAAGCCUGCAUAUGAUUAUAAAAAAACUAAAUAGAGAAUAAAUUGAAUUUGUUGUAUAGUUGACUGAAUGAUACU